UUUUUCUGCCAAGUUUAGCAACGCUCUCCGUCUCCGGCGAACUUUUGCUUCUCUCCGCCGAAAAUCAAGCUGUGAGUUCCCUUUUUGUCAUCUGUGGUAAUCCCUUUUUCUAAUGCUCUUUAGUUGUAAAUAUUCUUAAUAGAAAAUGAAAAGAAAAGAAAAGGAGAAUGCCAUAAAAAGUGCAUUUUUUUAUAAUUAUAUUUUUAGUUUUCAGCAUUCUUUUUAGUGGUAAUACAAUAAUCUGUGAACUGGGUUUUGUCCUUUUGGUGUUUACUGUUAGUUACUGCAUAAGGAGUAUCAACUUCAAUUUCUGAUUUUUCCAAUUUAAUAUGCAUUUUAGCUUUCCAUGUUAAUUAGUGUCCUGGGAUAUUCUUAAUUGAAAAAAAGAAAUAAAAAAGGAGGAUAAGUCCAUAAAGGUGUAAUCUUUAUCAUUAUUUUGCUGGUUUUCAGCAUGCUUUUUUAAUAGUAAAACACGAAUUCAAAAUUUACCUGCACCCGGUGUUUACACCAAACCAUACUAAUUUACUAUGGUUAAUCAUAUAUUAAGGUGAGAUGCAUUUUAACUAACUACUAUAUUUUGGUGAUAAGCGUGAAGGGAGCCUUGGAGCAACUAGGUCACGGAGUUUGAGCCUUGGAAGCAGCUACUAAUGCUUGCAUUAAGGGAAGCUGUCUACAUCACACUCUCUUGGAGCGGCCCUUCCCGAACCGUGCGUGAAUGCAUGAUGCCUUGUGCACCGGGUUGCCUUUUAUUUUGGUGAUAAGUGUGUAUGUGAAGACAUCUAUUAUAUAUUCAUCGGGUUUGGGUUUGGGGUUAUCAUGGUUAGUGUAUACUAUCACUACAUAAUGAAAGAUUCAAGUUUGAUUUAUACCUUUUUUAUGAUUUUUAGAAGUUAAUUUUGCAUUCUUGUUUACUUCUUAUAUUGGUUACUCUCAAAUCUUCUUAGUAUGAAAAAGAAAAAUGGGAAUUUGGUUAUCUAAAGGUGUAAUGUUAAUCAUUUUUAUUGCAAACGUUCAGCAUGCUUUUUAGUUGUAGAACACGAAUUUUGAAUUGUGGUUGCCAAGCUCAGGGUCUACUUUCACUGCAUAAAGAAUUAGCAACUCCAAUUUGUAUGCUUCGUUAUUAUAUUUGCAAGUUAAUAUGUGAUUUUAUUUGGUUCCGAUGUUAAUCUACUGAUAUCUUCUUAAUAUAUAAAUAGAAAAAGAGAAUAAUGCCAUAAAAGUGCAAUAUUUGUCAUCAUAUUGCGAGUUUUAG
This 1252-nucleotide long non-coding RNA is filed under the name Nicotiana tabacum (common tobacco). RNAcentral's name for it is "long non-coding RNA (NTAB_LNC000207)". The record is from RNAcentral. Lineage: Eukaryota; Viridiplantae; Streptophyta; Magnoliopsida; Solanales; Solanaceae.